CUUCUCCUGCUUGAGAGGCCUAAAAUCCCUUCUCCCUUAAUUAUGCAGACUAGUAGAGACGGUUCCCUCCGCGGGAGGGGCCGCCACUGCCUCGCCUGCCAGCCCAGCUCAGCCUUCCAGAGGUGAGGUCACCGCUGGCUCAGCUGGGCUCCCCGGAGGGAGGGCGAGGGUGUGAGCCUUCCUACCUGUGACUCUCAUGGUUCCUCCAGCAGAACCUCAUGAAUGCACCUGGGCGUGGAGGAGAGGGGACCAAGAAGCCCGAGGAACACUUGGUUUUUGCAGCCUUUUCUUUGUGGCAGAGUUUUGGAUUCCUGAAAUCUCUUAAGAAUGAGCGACAAGGUGCCAGACGUGAUUUAGUCUCUGGGUGCCAAGGCCCCUGUUGCUCCAUGUGAGUUCUGAUCUGUGAUUCUCCUUAUCCACCUCAGUCUGAUUUCCCGAAGUGACACUGUGCUCCAAUUUGUUACUCUUCUCCAGCAGUACUGAGACACUAAUUGUUGGGGUGCAUGUAUUUCUAAAACAAGAACUGUAGACUGUGUCCAGCUCUUGCUCUGGCUGUGUGUUCUUUUCGAUGUGUGGAUCUGGUCUUUCCUGGGCCUCAGCUUGAACCUUUGUGAGGUGCUAAGGGGGAAUGGACAGAGAGAUUUGCUGUCAUCCCCUUCAGGGACAGGAUAUGCAAGGCCGCCCCACUCUGCACCCUGAUGAGCAGCAUCC
Molecule: long non-coding RNA, 711 nt
Filed under: Cavia porcellus (domestic guinea pig)
Lineage: Eukaryota; Metazoa; Chordata; Mammalia; Rodentia; Caviidae
Description: lncRNA (ENSCPOG00000036963.1)
Source: RNAcentral